GAGUGGCGAACUGGUGAGUAACACGUGGGAAACCUGCCCAGAAGCGGGGGAUAACACCUGGAAACAGAUGCUAAUACCGCAUAACAACUUGGACCGCAUGGUCCGAGUUUGAAAGAUGGCUUCGGCUAUCACUUUUGGAUGGUCCCGCGGCGUAUUAGCUAGAUGGUGGGGUAACGGCUCACCAUGGCAAUGAUACGUAGCCGACCUGAGAGGGUAAUCGGCCACAUUGGGACUGAGACACGGCCCAAACUCCUACGGGAGGCAGCAGUAGGGAAUCUUCCACAAUGGACGAAAGUCUGAUGGAGCAACGCCGCGUGAGUGAAGAAGGGUUUCGGCUCGUAAAACUCUGUUGUUAAAGAAGAACAUAUCUGAGAGUAACUGUUCAGGUAUUGACGGUAUUUAACCAGAAAGCCACGGCUAACUACGUGCCAGCAGCCGCGGUAAUACGUAGGUGGCAAGCGUUGUCCGGAUUUAUUGGGCGUAAAGCGAGCGCAGGCGGUUUUUUAAGUCUGAUGUGAAAGCCUUCGGCUCAACCGAAGAAGUGCAUCGGAAACUGGGAAACUUGAGUGCAGAAGAGGACAGUGGAACUCCAUGUGUAGCGGUGAAAUGCGUAGAUAUAUGGAAGAACACCAGUGGCGAAGGCGGCUGUCUGGUCUGUAACUGACGCUGAGGCUCGAAAGUAUGGGUAGCAAACAGGAUUAGAUACCCUGGUAGUCCAUACCGUAAACGAUGAAUGCUAAGUGUUGGAGGGUUUCCGCCCUUCAGUGCUGCAGCUAACGCAUUAAGCAUUCCGCCUGGGGAGUACGGCCGCAAGGCUGAAACUCAAAGGAAUUGACGGGGGCCCGCACAAGCGGUGGAGCAUGUGGUUUAAUUCGAAGCUACGCGAAGAACCUUACCAGGUCUUGACAUACUAUGCAAAUCUAAGAGAUUAGACGUUCCCUUCGGGGACAUGGAUACAGGUGGUGCAUGGUUGUCGUCAGCUCGUGUCGUGAGAUGUUGGGUUAAGUCCCGCAACGAGCGCAACCCUUAUUAUCAGUUGCCAGCAUUAAGUUGGGCACUCUGGUGAGACUGCCGGUGACAAACCGGAGGAAGGUGGGGAUGACGUCAAAUCAUCAUGCCCCUUAUGACCUGGGCUACACACGUGCUACAAUGGAUGGUACAACGAGUUGCGAACUCGCGAGAGUAAGCUAAUCUCUUAAAGCCAUUCUCAGUUCGGAUUGUAGGCUGCAACUCGCCUACAUGAAGUCGGAAUCGCUAGUAAUCGCGGAUCAGCAUGCCGCGGUGAAUACGUUCCCGGGCCUUGUACACACCGCCCGUCACACCAUGAGAGUUUGUAACACCCAAAGUCGGUGGGGUAACCCAUAGGA
This 1367-nucleotide ribosomal RNA is filed under the name Lactiplantibacillus plantarum. RNAcentral's name for it is "Lactobacillus plantarum 16S ribosomal RNA". It matches the Rfam family "Bacterial small subunit ribosomal RNA", at positions 93 to 1447 of the family's 1533-position model. Lineage: Bacteria; Bacillati; Bacillota; Bacilli; Lactobacillales; Lactobacillaceae. The record is from RNAcentral.